This 60-nucleotide transfer RNA is filed under the name Odontocolon albotibiale. RNAcentral's name for it is "tRNA-Thr". Lineage: Eukaryota; Metazoa; Arthropoda; Insecta; Hymenoptera; Ichneumonidae. The record is from RNAcentral.
GCUAUAUAGUUUAAAUAAAACAUUAAUCUUGUAAAUUAAAAUUAAAGAAAUUUUACAGCU